This 44-nucleotide non-coding RNA is filed under the name Echinostoma caproni. Lineage: Eukaryota; Metazoa; Platyhelminthes; Trematoda; Plagiorchiida; Echinostomatidae. The record is from RNAcentral.
GCCUUGCUGAUGAGACCCACCAGGUCGAAACAGCUGUCCAGCAC